AUAACGACUCUCGGCAACGGAUAUCUCGGCUCUCGCAUCGAUGAAGAACGUAGCGAAAUGCAAUACUUGGUGUGAAUUGCAGAAUCCCGUGAACCAUCGAGUCUUUGAACGCAAGUUGCGCCCUAAGCCUUCUGGCCGAGGGCACGUCUGCCUGGG
RNAcentral lists this ribosomal RNA (156 nucleotides) under Arabis doumetii. RNAcentral's name for it is "5.8S ribosomal RNA". It matches the Rfam family "5.8S ribosomal RNA". Rfam says of the family: 5.8S ribosomal RNA (5.8S rRNA) is a component of the large subunit of the eukaryotic ribosome. Lineage: Eukaryota; Viridiplantae; Streptophyta; Magnoliopsida; Brassicales; Brassicaceae. The record is from RNAcentral.